Molecule: ribosomal RNA, 504 nt
Filed under: uncultured bacterium
Lineage: Bacteria
Description: bacterial SSU rRNA
Rfam family: Bacterial small subunit ribosomal RNA
Source: RNAcentral
AGUUUGAUCAUGGCUCAGAUUGAACGCUGGCGGCAGGCCUAACACAUGCAAGUCGAGCGGAUGACAGGAGCUUGCGUCCUGAAUUCAGCGGCGGACGGGUGAGUAAUGCCUAGGAAUCUGCCUGGUAGUGGGGGACAACGUUUCGAAAGGAACGCUAAUACCGCAUACGUCCUACGGGAGAAAGCAGGGGACCUUCGGGCCUUGCGCUAUCAGAUGAGCCUAGGUCGGAUUAGCUAGUUGGUGAGGUAAUGGCUCACCAAGGCGACGAUCCGUAACUGGGUCUGAGAGGAUGAUCAGUCACACUGGAACUGAGACACGGUCCAGACUCCUACGGGAGGCAGCAGUGGGGAAUAUUGGACAAUGGGCGAAAGCCUGACCCAGCCAUGCCGCGUGUGUGAAGAAGGUCUUCGGAUUGUAAAGCACUUUAAGUUGGGAGGAAGGGCAUUAACCUAAUACGUUAGUGUUUUGACGUUACCGACAGAAUAAGCACCGGCUAACUCUGUG